GAUGAACGCUGGCGGCGUGCCUAAUACAUGCAAGUCGAGCGAACGGACGAGAAGCUUGCUUCUCUGAUGUUAGCGGCGGACGGGUGAGUAACACGUGGAUAACCUACCUAUAAGACUGGGAUAACUUCGGGAAACCGUAGCUUAUACCGGAUAAUAUUUUGAACCGCAUUGUUCAAAAGUGAAAGUCGGUCUUUCUGUCACUUAUAGAUGGAUCCGCGCUGCAUUAGCUAGUUGGUAAGGUAACGGCUUACCAAGGCAACGAUGCAUAGCCGACCUGAGAGGGUGGUCGGCCACACUGGAGCUGAGACACGGUCCAGACUCCUACGGGAGGCAGCAGUAGGGAAUCUUCCGCAAUGGGGGAAAGCCUGACGGAGCAACGCCGCGUGAGUGAUGAAGGUCUUCGGAUCGUAAAACUCUGUUAUUAGGGAAGAACAUAUGUGUAAGUAACUGUGCAGAUCUUGACGGUACCUAGUCAGAAAGCCACGGCUAACUACGUG
RNAcentral lists this ribosomal RNA (497 nucleotides) under uncultured bacterium. RNAcentral's name for it is "partial 16S ribosomal RNA". It matches the Rfam family "Bacterial small subunit ribosomal RNA", at positions 28 to 507 of the family's 1533-position model. The record is from RNAcentral.